AUGCCGGUCAGCGCCAGCAACGCGCCCGAUCCGAGGCCCGAGAGCACAAUCUCGGUGAGAAAGAGCCAAUCCAUCACGCUGCCUUCUCGCCUGCAAUGCGCCGCGACAGUUCGCCGACAUCACCCGAUCCCAGAUAGGCCGAGAUGACGUCGGGGUUGUUCUGAAUCUCCGCCGGUUUUCCGGUCGCGAUCACCUGUCCGAAAUUCAGCACGACGACAUGGUCCGAAAUAUCCAUCACCAGGCCCAUGUCGUGCUCGACCAUCAGGAUGG
RNAcentral lists this unclassified non-coding RNA (270 nucleotides) under Hevea brasiliensis (rubber tree). The record is from RNAcentral. Lineage: Eukaryota; Viridiplantae; Streptophyta; Magnoliopsida; Malpighiales; Euphorbiaceae.